This 489-nucleotide long non-coding RNA is filed under the name Androctonus crassicauda. The record is from RNAcentral. Lineage: Eukaryota; Metazoa; Arthropoda; Arachnida; Scorpiones; Buthidae.
GAUCGAUGGGCCGGGCCCGGACCCCAUGAUGCAUAUUUAUAACAUAUUUUCAAGGGGUGCGACCCGAGAUUCGAAUCACAGUCCUCCAGAAUGGAAAACCGAAGCGUUUCCAUGCGGCCAAUCCGACCAAUUUUUGCGUUUUUAUACUAUCCCUACUGGAAUCGACCUUGUUUACAGCUUCAUCUCAGCAUUAGUUCCAUUGAGUUUGAAAAUAUCGAAAUGAACGUCGAUGGUAGCAGUUCACAUUAUUCAAGUUAUCUCUUAAUGCAAGUAAAAAGUAGAAUGAAAGUCUACUUACUUGAAACUUGAAAACAUCUUUCCAUUUUACUUGAAUUCAAAUAAAACGAAACGUCCACGUUAGCAAAAUGUUUUCAAGUUGUAUGCAUCAUGCAACUUGAUUACAAAUAACUUGACUAAUGUAAAAGUAACCUUAGAGAUGCGCAACAGUUUAAAUCUUAAGAAUUAUCCUCUCGCAUUAUUGAUUCCCCC